GGAUUGUAGUCUGCAACCCGACCUACAUGAAGCCGGAAUCGCUAGUAAUCGCGGAUCAGAAUGCCGCGGUGAAUACGUUCCCGGGUCUUGUACACACCGCCCGUCACACCAUGGGAGUCGGGAGUGCCUGAAGUACGUGACCGCAAGGAGCGUCCUAGGGUAAGACCGGUGACUGGGGCUAAGUCGUAACAAGGUAAC
This 198-nucleotide ribosomal RNA is filed under the name uncultured bacterium. Its description in RNAcentral is "partial 16S ribosomal RNA". It matches the Rfam family "Bacterial small subunit ribosomal RNA", at positions 1295 to 1500 of the family's 1533-position model. The record is from RNAcentral.